GAGGUAGCCGAUCAUCAUGUUGCUGAAACGCUGAGGGUAGUACAUGCCGUCCAUCUUCUUGCUCCUGCUGCUGCUGCUGCUGCUCAGGAAUAUAGGAAUAAAACCUGCCACGGAUUUCCAUGUCCGGCAUCGAUUCUCCAUCGCCAGAAAGAAGCAUCGGAAUUAUGGCGCGGCAUCGUCCUCGGCUGCCUUAGCCGCUGCCGAUGCUUAAUCAUGAAGCAAGCAAAAAAAAACACAUCAAAACACAGGAGAUAGGUCCGGCCGGGCUCCGGCUUUCCGGACGACCAUGGUGGCCCUUUCUUUCUCCUUCUCCUUCUCCUUGUCCUUACAUCAGAGUGCACGAAGCAGGCCCGCUUUGCUUUAUAGCCACAUACAGUAUAAUAUACCACUUUGCAUCCAAGUAAAAAAGAUGCAAGGAGGAGGGCCCUAAGCCAGUCGUCUUGCUGCCCGGAUCAGUGGCGAGUGGAAAGCGCUGUGUCGUGUGCAUAAUGCAUCAACUUUUUCAUCCUUUGCUCGCCACCUUUCUCUCUUUCUUCCUCUUUGAUUGAUGGUUUGUGUAUUCUCUUUGGGCAGGAUAAGCUCGUCGGGAUGCCGGCGGCCAAUCGGCUUAAAGCGAUGAUUUGCUCUAAUGACAAAAAAUGUGGCGCCGCUAACCGCAUAUUAUACUUUAAAAGUCUUUUUUUCUUUUUCACUGCCCCGAGGAAGGUCGUCUUCUCUGGAAGCAAAAGCGCGUUCGGGACGACGGAAAGCGCGCACCGGAGAAGCGUUGGGAUUCGGAGAAACCUUCUUGGGUUUGGGUGGCUCGAGAUGGAGCCAUGUUAUUAUCAACGUUUGAUUUGAUUAUAAGAUGUUUAAAGGGGUGAUGAUGAUCUUUGAUGAUGCUGACAACCGGUUUCCUUGGUCACUGGCUAAGGGUCACAUGUUCAUUGGGUACCUGAGUGAGUGAGUGAUCGUGUUGUUGCUUGGACAGGAAACAGAUGGUGAAUCUAGUGGAUGCGCUUCUUUUA
Molecule: long non-coding RNA, 1007 nt
Organism: Hordeum vulgare subsp. vulgare (domesticated barley)
Lineage: Eukaryota; Viridiplantae; Streptophyta; Magnoliopsida; Poales; Poaceae
Exons: 2
Source: RefSeq, a predicted model, not a curated record